RNAcentral lists this ribosomal RNA (254 nucleotides) under uncultured bacterium. Its description in RNAcentral is "partial 16S ribosomal RNA". It matches the Rfam family "Bacterial small subunit ribosomal RNA", at positions 524 to 776 of the family's 1533-position model. The record is from RNAcentral.
UACGUAGGGACCGAGCGUUGUCCGGAAUCAUUGGGCGUAAAGAGCGUGUAGGCGGCCACUUAAGUCCUGCGUGAAAUCCUGCGGCUCAACCGCAGGCGGUCGUGGGAAACUGGGUGGCUAGAGUGCGGGAGAGGAGAGUGGAAUUCCUGGUGUAGCGGUGGAAUGCGCAGAUAUCAGGAGGAACACCGGUGGCGAAGGCGGGUCUCUGGGCAGUAACUGACGCUGGAGGAGCGAAAGCGUGGGGAGCGAACAGG